AUCAGCCAGUGGGAGAGGAAGAGGAGAUUUGUUGCAACCUUGAGGAUUUCUUUACGUUGCUGUGAAAACCUGGAUGUUGGGGGCUCUGUCUGUGUAUCGUAGACGGAGUUUUGAAUUGCUCCAGUGAAACACAAGUAUUUUACCUUACGCUGUCAACCUGCUGGGGGAAGCGUGAAGACAGUUUAACCUUCUGGCUCCGGUAAUCAUCUUGUCUCAGAGACCUCGGAGAGCUCCCAGAGCCUGGCUGCCACGGUGGUUCUAUAUACCCUCCAGCCCUGGCCUGCCUUGGGACACCCCUCUCCGCCUGCCGGCCCCAGAAUUUCCCCACACACGCGGUCAUCACAGCCCGAGAUGUUUAAUGACGGCUUCAUGCACCAGGCUAUUGCCCUAAACACGGGUGACAGGCCAAACACACACUAAUUACCUAACUCAAUUCAAGCCCGCCUGGCCCCGUGGAAAGGCUGAGCUGGGGAUGCACGCAGGUGCCCCGUCGUUACCUCCGGAUGUCAAAUUGAAGUGAGGUUUUCCCGCAUGAGCGGGGAGAGCUGUUUCUACGCACCAAGAUUUCCACGGUUUGCAGGAGAAAGAGUUUUGUGUCUGCCCUCUGGACAGCCCUGUCA
RNAcentral lists this long non-coding RNA (620 nucleotides) under Homo sapiens (human). RNAcentral's name for it is "non-protein coding lnc-PLCXD1-1:4". The record is from RNAcentral. Lineage: Eukaryota; Metazoa; Chordata; Mammalia; Primates; Hominidae.